Molecule: ribosomal RNA, 208 nt
Filed under: uncultured bacterium
Lineage: Bacteria
Description: partial 16S ribosomal RNA
Rfam family: Bacterial small subunit ribosomal RNA
Source: RNAcentral
CGCGUAGGCGGCCUCCGCAAGUCGACUGUGAAAUCUCUGGGCUUAACCCAGAACGGUCAGCCGAUACUGCGGGGCUAGAGUGCAGAAGGGGCAACUGGAAUUCUCGGUGUAGCGGUGAAAUGCGUAGAUAUCGAGAGGAACACCUGCGGCGAAGGCGGGUUGCUGGGCUGACACUGACGCUGAGGCGCGAAAGCUAGGGGAGCGAACG